UAACCUGCCUGGUAGCGGGGGAUAACUAUUGGAAACGAUAGCUAAUACCGCAUAAGAGUAGAUGUUGCAUGACAUUUGCUUAAAAAGGUGCAAUUGCAUCACUACCAGAUGGGCCUGCGUUGUAUUAGCUAGUUGGUGAGGUAACGGCUCACCAAGGCAACGAUACAUAGCCGACCUGAGAGGGUGAUCGGCCACACUGGGACUGAGACACGGCCCAG
This 218-nucleotide ribosomal RNA is filed under the name uncultured bacterium. Its description in RNAcentral is "partial 16S ribosomal RNA". It matches the Rfam family "Bacterial small subunit ribosomal RNA", at positions 122 to 334 of the family's 1533-position model. The record is from RNAcentral.